AUUGAACGCUGGCGGCAUGCUUUACACAUGCAAGUCGAAUGGUAACAGGCCGCAAGGUGCUGACGAGUGGCGAACGGGUGAGUAAUGCAUCGGAACGUGCCCAUUCGUGGGGGAUAACGCAGCGAAAGCUGCGCUAAUACCGCAUACGAUCUAUGGAUGAAAGCGGGGGACCUGUAAGGGCCUCGCGCGAUUGGAGGGGCCGAGGUCAGAUUGGGUAGUUGGUGGGGUAAAGGCCCACCAAGCCACAGAUCUGUAGCUGGUCUGAGAGGACGACCAGCCACACUGGGACUGAGACACGGCCCAGACUCCUACGGGAGGCAGCAGUGGGGAAUUUUGGACAAUGGGCGCAAGCCUGAUCCAGCAAUGCCGCGUGCAGGAAGAAGGCCUUCGGGUUGUAAACUGCUUUUGUACGGAGCGAAACGGCUCUGGUUAAUACCUGGGGCUAAUGACGGUACCGUAAGAAUAAGCACCGGCUAACUACGCGCCAGCAGCCGCCGUAA
Molecule: ribosomal RNA, 500 nt
Filed under: uncultured bacterium
Lineage: Bacteria
Description: partial 16S ribosomal RNA
Rfam family: Bacterial small subunit ribosomal RNA
Source: RNAcentral